Molecule: small nuclear RNA, 65 nt
Filed under: Cervus elaphus hippelaphus
Lineage: Eukaryota; Metazoa; Chordata; Mammalia; Artiodactyla; Cervidae
Source: RNAcentral
GUGCUCGCUUCGGCAGCACAUAUACUAAGAUUGGAACAAUACAGAGAAGAUUAGCAUGGCCCCUG